AGGGGCUUCUCCUGUUUUUUUUUUCUGCUAGCCGAUCAGUGCGCACGAGUGUUGUGAGUCUCGGGAUUCUAACCUUUCUUUUCGGGCAAACUAAAUUUUUCCUCUGCUGCCCUAAUUGAAUUAUGCAAAGGCACUGCAGCACAGCGUCUGCUAUGAGUGGUCUGUGAUUUCGAGAAAAGUAGGACUGGCCCGAAGAGAAUGACGAGCAGCGAACAGGCUAACAGUAGCACCUUACGACAUAGGAUAACGAAGAAAGAGGACAGUAUUUUGAAGAAGAGCCAGGACAACAACGAGGGCUUCAAAUUGGGACCCGGGACCGACAGUUUUCUAAACAUCAAUGAAAGACCCGUUGACGACAUUUCCAUCGAGUUUUUUUAUAAGCCACACACUAUCACUCUUCUUCUAAUCUCUAUUGGAGCAGUAAUUUAUUUCGCAUUCGUUAGGGAUGUUACUAAUGUGGAGGACAACUUAUGGGCAGGAGUGUUGUGUGUUGUGUUCUUCUUUCUAAUAAUAUCAGUCUUAACAUUUCCAAAUGGACCAUUUACAAGACCUCAUCCAGUUGUCUGGAGGAUCGUAUUUGGUUGCAGUGUACUUUACCUCAUGGGAUUGCUAUUCAUACUAUUCCAGAACUAUGAGACUGUGAAAAAAAUUCUAAUAUGGAUUGACCCAGGAUUGGCAUCAUUUCACAUUGAUAUGGACAAGGAAUAUGGAGUAAACUGUUCUGAUGUAACUUUGGAAAAAAUUUGGAAUCACAUAGAUGUGUUUGCAUUGGCACAUUUUCUUGGAUGGGCAUUUAAGGCAGUUCUUAUUCGUCAUUUUGGUAUACUUUGGGCCAUAAGCAUUAUGUGGGAAGUAACAGAAAUUGCAUUUGCCCAUUUAUUACCAAACUUUAUCGAGUGCUGGUGGGAUGCUCUGAUAUUGGAUGUCCUUGUAUGCAAUGGUCUAGGCAUUUGGGUUGGUUUAAAGAUUUGCUCCUGCUUGGAAAUGCGAGAGUACAAAUGGGUCAGUAUUCGUGACAUUGAGAGCACAACUGGAAAACUGAAAAGAGCAGUGCUGCAAUUCACACCAGGUAGUUGGACCUCUGUCAGAUGGUUGGACCCCACCUGUACUCACAUGCGAUUCGUUGCACUCUGUCAGUUGGUGAUAUUCUGGCAGGUCUCCGAACUGAAUACUUUCUUCCUAAAACAUGUCUACGAGUUUCCACCAUCUCAUCCAUUUGUUAUUUCACGCUUGGUACUCAUUGGAGUGAUUGUUGCUCCAUCAGUUAGGCAAUAUUACAUGUACGUAACAGACCCAGCGUGUAAUAGGGUGGGAACUCAAUGCUGGGUUUAUGGUGCGAUUAUGGUUACCGAAGCAUUAUUAUGUAUAAAACACGGCGCCACUCUUUUUGAACGCACUCAAGCACUCAACAUUCUUGCCUGGCUUCUCUGCCAGACUCUAGUCUCAGUUCUCUGCGUUUACGGUUGCGUUUUAUGGCAUCAGUACUUCCAGAUGGGAAAUCAAAACACGAUUGGCCAACAGGAUGCCAGUUCUGCCGAUUCCAGUAGCAGCAACGGUAUGUUUAUGUAAUCAACAAAUUAUCAUUAGGAGCCUAUUAAUGCUUGGACUUGAACCAACGUUGAACUGGGCCUAAUUACCUUUUCCUUAGUUAUUACUGAACAAUUGCCACGUGUGUCUUGAAACCUUUUUAUUGCUUGAAUAUGACUUACCACAUAUGAAGAAACCUGUGGACAAUACACUCAUUUUGUGUACGGUGUGUGUCGAAUCAUACACAACAAUUUUUUCGAAACUUCGACGAAAUAUGAAGACAUGAUGAAUGAAAAAAUUCUAUAGUUUCAGUUAACGAUUAUAAUACUUGAAAUGGUUUUCCGCCUUGGAAAUCUUAUAAGAUGCCAAGGUCAUGUUUAUUUUAAACAAAAUAUAUUAUUUUUUAUUCCGGAUUCCAUUAAGAGAUAAAAUUAUGGGCACGAGAAUGUUAAGAUACAUAGAACGUGGCUCGCUAUAAGGAAGCUCUGGUGUCCUCAGAAAACAAGCGGAUAUGACAACACAAACAGUAAUAUAUCAAAUGAUAUAUUAUUAAGUCGCUGAACUGUUGAACUGAAACUUUCUAGUCGUACGAUAACAUACGGGUAAAAGUUGGCAAGUUCGCGGAUAAUUAUUAUUAUGUUAAGGAAUGCGAGGUCCAUCUUCUUGUGUUCCUUUCGCGUGACGUGGAGGAAAUGUGCCUCAACGUUUUCUCCGCAAAUCUUGUUGGCUUAAAAUAAAUCUAGAGUAUCGUUAUCAAAUGA
RNA transcript from Cephus cinctus (wheat stem sawfly), 2288 nucleotides. It is a transcript of the gene named phosphatidylserine synthase 1, with no coding region annotated. The record is from RefSeq and is a predicted model, not a curated record. The transcript is spliced from 6 exons. NCBI's taxonomy places the organism in Eukaryota, Metazoa, Arthropoda, Insecta, Hymenoptera, Cephidae.